Molecule: long non-coding RNA, 4231 nt
Organism: Mauremys reevesii (Reeves's turtle)
Lineage: Eukaryota; Metazoa; Chordata; Testudines; Geoemydidae
Exons: 3
Source: RefSeq, a predicted model, not a curated record
GAAACUUUGCUGUUUCUGAAUGUAAAUCUGGUUGCUCUGAAGUAAGGAGCUUAUGAUCUUAGUUAAGUGGUUCCUCCCCUGGUCUGGUGCCUCAGGAAAAGGGAGAAAGCCUGCCUGCCUCCAACAACAUUAAGGGAAGGAUUGCCAUGAGGAGGGAAGCAAGCUAUCAGUUAAAGAACUCCUGGGGUCUGAUUCUCCACCACGUUGUACCCUGUGCCACCCUUCGCACCAGGACCACGCUACAUCAGAACAGGAAUGUUUCACACCUACUUUGCACAGAUGUGUCUGCACAAUGUGGAGGGAAUCAGGCCUAAUGCUUCCUUCUCCCAGUCCGUCCACGCUCUAGUCAUUUAUUCUUUAUCAUGCAUCCAUUCUGGCAAAGGUGCAAGGAUCAUACACAGACAAAGAUCUGGAACAGGAAAUGCCAGCAUGUCCUUUAUGAGCCGUGCUUUUUGCAUAUCAUUUGCAUAACUGACCUUUGCAUCAUACAAAUGGGAUCCUUGCACUUCUGCCUGUUGGAGUAAUCCUAGCUAGGAUUCACUGGUCAAUUAAGUUAGACCAGGAAUGAAUUUCCUCGCUAGAUCAUUACACUCCAAAGCCACAGCAUGUCCCCGGUGUUCAGCUGAGAAACCAAAAGAUAGCAUGGACAAGCCCAUACCACCUUCUCGGUGUCAAGGCCCAAGAAACCAGGGGAGAGACAAUGCAGGCAGUUUUCCUUUAAUGGACAGAGGUGACUGGCUGUUCACCUACUUAUGACAAUCCCUCCUUCCAAGCACUCAAUCCUGCAUUCCAUGCCACACCCACCACAUCCACUGACUUCUUUAGUACACCACGAGCAUCCGUGGAAGUUCUGGCUGUGUCAGGAAAGCAGGAAUGAGCCUCAAAGAGACAAAUGGCCAAAUUCUCUGUGACUGUAAACUGGGGUGCAGCUCCACUGAAGUCACUGGAGCUACACCCAAUUGCAACAGGAGAGGAUGUGAUUGUGUGUGUGUGUGUGUGUAUACAUACACACACACACAUAAAUAUGAAACCAUUCAAGAAACUUUUGAGACAACAUGCUCUGUCUUCUUUAGAGACACAGAGGCUGUGAUAGCAGCUGCGUUUUACCCCCACGCUCGAUUCACAAAUGGAAACAGAAUCUCGAAAUAAAUUAAAACAUGCGCACAACACUUUGUGUAGAUUGUAAAUUUCGUAGGUGCAAUCUUGGAAGGUCCACGUGCUCCUGAAGAGAUCAAAUGAAAGCCAAAGGAGAAAAAAACAAAAGCCAACACAAUGUGUUUCACCUGUGCCAGAAGUGUACGCGUUUCCUGAUUGGAACCAGAACUGGUAUCCACUGGCCACACGCCAAUGAUCGGCUGUGCAGAGGAAGCCAUCCUAAUAAUAAAUAGCAACCCCAAUUCUGCGUCUGGCUUGUCAGCUGUUUGGUAACGAGAAUGCAUGUGCAUCUGGUCUGGAGAAGCUGGUGUGAUGUGUACAUUCUGCUUCAUCAAAUAUGCAAGCUCUCCCGGGAGCAGAAACAUUAGAAUAUUCACUUGAGCUCCACUUCUUCCUCUUGCUAUUGAUUUCUUUAUUGGAUCCCAGGUAUGAGCUUUUCGCCAGCCUUGUCUUUAAGAAAAAACCUCUCCUCGCUCUAGAGAAAGUUUCCCGGUGGCUGGGUUUGAAGGCAAACUCUGCUCUGGAUACAAAGCUUUUAAAUUACAGUCCUGGUGGCGACUGGCAUGUAAAGAAAGCCUCGUGCCCAGAGACUAUUACGAUCAUGUCAUUUAAAAAACAAACAAACAAACAAACCAAGAACAUGUCAGUUACAGGCUUCUUCCAAACUCUCCAUCGCUCUCUCCAUCCUCACCUUCCAGGGCUUCACGGAGGAGUGAACAACCCUGGCUCAACAGGCCAUGCUCCUGGCCACAAUGAGGAUGCUGGAUGUGAAUACGGAUGGGUGCAGGGGGUGGGAAACCAGACUGACUGAAUGAAUGAAGACAUUUUAUGGAAGGCUCCAGUUUCUCCCCCAUCCCUUUCCUGUUUUCUCAGUAGGAAAAUGGAAUGCUGCCCCAGGGAAUCAGCUGGGGAGCAACACAUGCUCCAGGAAAUAAGUGAUGGAGUCCCAGUGCUUCCAGAGGAAGAGGAGGAAGAGGAACAACAGGGCGGUGCUGAGGAUGCGCAUGCGGGUCUUCAUGAGGGGAGUGAUGAAGUUGGCGAUGGUGGAGACGAAGACGAGCAGCACCGCCAUGAGGGCCAGAAUGACGUUGAUGAAUUUGCCCAGCAGGGCCCGGGCAUUGGCGUUCUCCACCCCUUCCAGCUGCACCACCUGCUGCUGCUGCUGCUGGAGCUCCAGCUUGGUGACACGGGUUGGCAACUGGCAGCAGGAUACAGGACAUCUUACCUCCCAGUCUCCCAGGUCGGCUGGCUCUUUGGUGGCUUAUGUGAAAUGGAUUUAGUCCAACUCCUUUCGAAAAGAGGUCGAUAUCACCACAGCUCCCAUCGCUGAGCCUAUCCUGUGCAGCACUGAGGGUAGGUCUACGCUGCAAUUAGAUACCUAUGGCUGGUCCAUGGCAGCUAACUCAGGCUCAUGGCACAGGGCUGUUUCACUGAGGUGUAGACAAUUGGGCUUGGGCUGGAGCCCAGGCUCUAGGACCCUGCGAGGUGGGAGGAUCCCCGAGCCUGAAUGUCUACACCGCAAUAAAACAGUCCCGCAAGCCCAAGUCAGCUGGCAUGGGCCAGCCGUGUGUUUCUAAUUGCAGUGUAGACAUACCCUGAGUGCCCUCAACUCCAGCUGGAGUCAAUGAGAGUGGAGGACACGUGACACCCCACAGCCCAGCGCCUACCAUCGGUGCUAGUGGUGGCAGACUCAGCAGAUAAAAUGGUGUCGAUGGGGCGGGAAACCGAAGUCUCCUCUCUGGAGAGGGUCUCUCCAGGGCAGGGCUAAAACAUACCAGCAGGGGGAGCAUGGGAGUAACCUGCGCUGCUUCCCCCCAUGUUGCAACUUGUCCUUCGGCUAGAGGAAUAUGGUGUCCGGGGCUGUCUACACCGCCCCUCUCAGGUGAAUGCAACUCACAAAGCUCUGCUCUGUCUCAGAUGCAUAGCAACCCAGAGGGAAAACCAACCCCGUUAUUAUUUUCUAAGCAAAAGGCCAGUACAGCUUUCUGCACCAUUAACAGGAAAUGCCAUUUAAAUCCCAGCAAACCUAAAUGACUGCCCAGUGGAUUUAACAGAGGGAUUACUGAAAGCCGCACUUUUUAUACAUGAGGAAAGCCUUUCACAAGUCAAAGCAAAAUUAAACUUCCAUUUGUUUCCCAUCAUUUCUUUUCCAAGGGCGGCUAAGGGGGAAAUGGAGAGUUAGUGUGCAUCUGGUGAGUAUGUGGGAUGCAGGAGGAAAAAUGAUUCUUAUAAACACAGUUUGAACCAGGAGAAUGGAGUUCGGCACAAAGCUCCAUCUAAUAAGCUGAGCAAACAUUACCUUAAAGGCCACAGCAGGAGCACAGUUAUGCAACGUUGAUUUACUAUCGCUGUUACGAUGUCACUGCAGUUUGGACACAGGAAAGCUGGAGGACAGAGGACAGAGCUUGGGUGGACAGCUGCUUUUGGGUCCUUAGCGAGCUCUCUUGAGAGCUGAGAACUUCCUGAAUCCCAGGAUUCUGUGCUGCCCUGUGGCCUCUCUGGUACAAUGGUUUGGGUCCUACUGUGCACUGAGCAUGCAUUCAUGAGUAGUCUAUAAAAUGACUGACCGUUUAUUAAAACAUCAGUUAAUCAACUGAAAGAGCUCCACAGGUUCUGUAGUGAUGGACACCUGUGCAAAAUGGCUUGUAAAGUGUCACCAUUCUGAUCCAGUCACACAGCGGUGCUUUGUGUCCCUUGAGGGACCAAGUGGUUUCGAUGAUAUAAUGUGAAUGCACCACGGGUCCUUGUGUGUAUAGUGAGGAACCUUUGAGGCUCUUUGCCCUCGAUGGAACAACCCCAAAGACCCCAAGAAUUACUGUUGCUGGUGCCUGCUCUUCCUGUAAUCAAUGCUACAUUACUCUUCCAUCGCGCUGCUCAGUUGAGGAUCUCAAAGCACUUCACAAACAUUAAUGAUCCUUGCAACAGCCUUGUGAGUUAGGUCAUUAUAAUUAGCCCUGUAUCACAGAUGGGUGCACUGAGGCAAAGGAGUUGAACAGAGAAUAGAACCCAGGAGUCCUGACCUGAAGUUCCUGUUGCUCUAACCACUUAUGCCACAUUCACCUCGCAGAGCAGAGAA